AUUGAACGCUGGCGGCAGGCCUAACACAUGCAAGUCGAGCGGAUGAAGGGAGCUUGCUCCUGGAUUCAGCGGCGGACGGGUGAGUAAUGCCUAGGAAUCUGCCUGGUAGUGGGGGAUAACGUCCGGAAACGGGCGCUAAUACCGCAUACGUCCUGAGGGAGAAAGUGGGGGAUCUUCGGACCUCACGCUAUCAGAUGAGCCUAGGUCGGAUUAGCUAGUUGGUGGGGUAAAGGCCUACCAAGGCGACGAUCCGUAACUGGUCUGAGAGGAUGAUCAGUCACACUGGAACUGAGACACGGUCCAGACUCCUACGGGAGGCAGCAGCGGGGAAUAUUGGACAAUGGGCGAAAGCCUGAUCCAGCCAUGCCGCGUGUGUGAAGAAGGUCUUCGGAUUGUAAAGCACUUUAAGUUGGGAGGAAGGGCAGUAAGUUAAGACCUUGCUGUUUUGACGUUACCAACAGAAUAAGCACCGGCUAACUUCGU
Molecule: ribosomal RNA, 483 nt
Filed under: uncultured bacterium
Lineage: Bacteria
Description: partial 16S ribosomal RNA
Rfam family: Bacterial small subunit ribosomal RNA
Source: RNAcentral